RNAcentral lists this ribosomal RNA (449 nucleotides) under uncultured bacterium. RNAcentral's name for it is "partial 16S ribosomal RNA". It matches the Rfam family "Bacterial small subunit ribosomal RNA", at positions 29 to 523 of the family's 1533-position model. The record is from RNAcentral.
AACGAACGCUGGCGGCAUGCCUAACACAUGCAAGUCGAACGAUACCUUCGGGUCUAGUGGCGCACGGGUGCGUAACGCGUGGGAAUCUGCCCUUGGGUUCGGGAUAACAGUUGGAAACGACUGCUAAUAUCGUAUGCCGUCUUCGGCUUGAAAAAGUAUCGCCCAGGGAUGAGCCCGCGUCGGAUUAGCUAGUUGGUAGGGUAAAAGGCUCCCAAGGCGACGAUCCGUAGCUGGUCUGAGAGGAUGAUCAGCAACACGGGGACUGAGACACUGCCCCGACGCAUAACGGAGGCAGUAGUGGGGAAUAGUGGACAAUGGGCGAAAGGCUGAUCCAGCAAUGCCGCGUGAGUGAUGAAGGCCGUAGGGUUGUAAAGCUCUUUUACCCGGGAUGAUAAUGACAGUACCGGGAGAAUAAGCCCCGGGUAACUCCGUGCCGGCCGCCGCAGUAA